RNAcentral lists this ribosomal RNA (434 nucleotides) under uncultured bacterium. RNAcentral describes it as "bacterial SSU rRNA". It matches the Rfam family "Bacterial small subunit ribosomal RNA", at positions 855 to 1290 of the family's 1533-position model. The record is from RNAcentral.
AAGCAUUAAGUUAUCCACCUGGGGAGUACGUCGGCAACGAUGAAACUCAAAGGAAUUGACGGGGGCCCGCACAAGCGGAGGAACAUGUGGUUUAAUUCGAUGAUACGCGAGGAACCUUACCUGGGCUCGAACGCAGGGGGAAUGUAGGAGAAAUCUUACAGCUAGCAAUAGCCGCCUGCGAGGUGCUGCAUGGUUGUCGUCAGCUCGUGCCGUGAGGUGUCGGCUUAAGUGCCAUAACGAGCGCAACCCUUAUUGUUAGUUGCCAGCGGGUAAAGCCGGGGACUCUAACAAAACUGCCAGCGUAAGCUGUGAGGAAGGCGGGGAUGACGUCAAAUCAGCACGGCCCUUACGUCCAGGGCUACACACGUGUUACAAUGGCCGGUACAGAGGGCAGCUACCCCGCGAGGGGAUGCAAAUCUCUAAAGCCGGUCCCA